Canis lupus familiaris (dog) is the source of this 3638-nucleotide long non-coding RNA. RefSeq lists it as uncharacterized. Lineage: Eukaryota; Metazoa; Chordata; Mammalia; Carnivora; Canidae. The transcript is spliced from 4 exons. The record is from RefSeq and is a predicted model, not a curated record.
GAGCCCUGGCCCUGGUGAGGACUUUCCCAGGGCCCAGGGACUCUGCUCUGCAGUUGCCAACUUCUUCUCUUCAGUACAGAGGGUGGAUGGGGCCUUCCCAAGAGGCCUGAAGGACUGCCCACUCUUGGCAGCAAGUCCAGGUAGUUGCUGGCCUCCGGUCAUCUGCUUCACCUGCUUCACCAGGCCUGGUGCUUGGCUGGGAGGCCCUGGUAUCUGCUCCACCCCUGCAGGUGCUCUUCCUGAGGCCUGAGUUGUUGGCUCAUAUAAAAAAGCCUUGGCAGAAGGCUGAGAGAGAAGUCUGGCCUGGCUCGUGGCAUCUGCCCCAGACCUUUACUGGCAGUCCAUGAGCUUGACUCCAACACUGGCAUCUUCUCAUCAACCUGUGGUGUGACCUCAUGAGGUGAAGCAGCCCGCUCUUUCUGGAAACAGAUUUAGUGGCCUUGAUGUCAGAAAACCUGGCUUUCAAUUCAACUCCUCCAUCUACAUGCUCUAUUGUGACAAGUCAUCUCACCAAACUGGACUCUCAGUUUUCCUCAUCUGCAUCAUGGGAAGGAUUCCAAGCCUUUAUUUCCAGAAUGAGAAUAUGAACCAUACCUCCUUCAAUGCUAUAAAAUGGGAAGACCAUGGGGCUCUGACAAUUCUGGCAGAGAACAAGCAGCACGCUAAAUGGAUUUUGUCACCAACCUGCUGGUCGCUUGGUUAGAUUUAGACAGUCAGCGUGGUAAACUUUUGGGCAGCCUGGCUUCUUACAGGAGACGAGCUGGCCAGCAUCCCCACAGCUGAAACACUCAUCCUCUCUCUCCUUUGUGAUUUCACCCUGGGUCCUGCGCUUCCCCUGUUGCUUCUUCUUGAAUUUCUUUGACUUUUCUUCUGUGGCAAUCGGCUGAUUCUAGAGGUCAGAUAUUGAGCAGUCAGCAUUCUGUCGAUACAUGAGUUGUGUGAUCUUGACCAGGUUAACUAUCCUCUCUGAGCCUCAUCUCUCCUCUGGGAAGAGACAGUCCUCACAGACUGUUCUAAAGAUAAGAGAAAAUGCAGGAAAGGCACCUGGCACAUCAUAGGUACCCAAUAAAUUAAUACUAACUUUUCUAUCAACUACUCUUACCACCUGAAUGAAAUAGAAAUGAACUUCUUUUUGUUAACACAUAAGGCUAGUGUUAAACGUUCUCCUUUCAUUAAGUUUUACUUUUAUGUUUGUCUAUGUGUGUCAUAUCUGUGUAUACACACACAUUUCUUUAUUCAACAAACCUUCACUGAGCACUUAUUAAGAGUCAAAUGUUAGUAAGGCACAAAAAACUCAUGGUCCUUGCCCACAAUAAGCUAUGUGCCCUUCAUCUAUAUCAAAUUAGGUUCAUAUCCACUAGUCCCCAAGACAGAUCCUGGUGUAGCCAGCAGGUCUCCUCUGUGUUCCCUGAAGCCCACACUUGGUUACCAAAUCCCGUGGGUUUCAUCACAUUAUUUAUCUUGGACUGGAGACAUCCACAAUCAGUCUGAUUUAUUACUAUCCCACAGUGAUCUCCCAUUUCUAAACUUCUGCCCUUAAAUUUCUCUGCUUCAUGUGUGAAAUGUUACAUAGAUGUUAAGGAUGCAGAAAGACAUUCCUAGUGACUGUAAUACCAUUAACCUUUGUUAAACUCAGUUAUUAAUUUGAUUUAUAGAGAAAAAAUAAACUGGACACCUUAAGGAACAAGACCAUUUAACUGACUAAAGAAAAAAAACUCCAUAAAAUAUAAACAUAACUUUCCUUAUUUGAUAAAAGAAUAAUUGGUGGGUGUUUAUCAUCAUGUGUUUUUGCUCAAAAUUAUUGCUCCCCCUUUAGUUAUUGGUUUCUGGGCUAAUUUGCAUUUUUCAGUUGUUAAUGUUGACUUCCAUAAUUAAAAGAGCAUAAUGGGAAAUAUCCAAUUGGAGUCGCUGUGUAGCCUACUUUUCAUGAAAAUUAAACUUCACUUUUCAGUGUUCUGUAAGUUAAUUGAAAAAUAAGAAUGUAUGUUCAUCUAGUACAGUCCAACCAGUGUAUUCAAAAAUUGAACAGUCACUAAAGAUAAUAGUCAAAAAGACCAUGUGACAGCAAGGAAAAAAUUAUAAUAUUUAAGAAAUGCAGGAUAUAGAAUUAUAAGUAUUUCUUUACAGAAUUGUAAGCCAGCUAAAAUGCACAUAAAAACCCAGGGAGUAAGACACAACAAUGGUUAUCCUUUGUUAAGAUGGUAAGAUUAAGGGUCCUAUGUUUAUCCACAGUGUUAUACUACAUUUAGAAUCUUAAAUUCAAUAUUGGACUCUUUGAGAGCUUAAAAAAGAGAAACAGAUGGGACAUAAGAUACCAAGAAUCUAAGUAGCUUAUUAGGAAAUGUGAGUAUGAUCAGCUGAGACCAAUAAAGACAUGGGAAGUAAUCUACUUUAUGGAUUCCUAUUUUACAGCUUUUUUAGCUAGAAAGGUGUUACCAAUUAGAAGUCAGACUGCUCAAAAAUACCCAAAGAUCAGCUUUUGAAUAACCAAACUGAUCAUCAACAUGCUUAGUUAAGUGCCAGUUGUCCUACUGACAACUAUCCAAUGUCAUUAUUCCAAAAAGACAUCUUAGAGUCAGCUGUUCCACUGGUUAGGGUGGGAGGACUACACCAUUAUUCGCAAUGGAAACGUUUGGAAGGUACCUUUGGCCUUACACCCAAAAACCCGCUGCAGUUUGGGGCUCCACACUUGCAAACAGUCUUUCCAUUCCCAAGACAUUCUAGGUUGUAGUUGAAGGUAAGUUCAGUGCCUGCAUAAAAGACCAUGAAAAUAUUACUAUCUAUGGCUUUAAUUACAUUAUUUCUGUAUUAAUCACAAAGGUUAUGGACUUGCAGAACAGAUUUUUCAGAGGCUAGAAAGGGGUUUAUUAACUCUAAUCCAGCUAUAUUAAUGAAAUAUUAAUAAAAUCUAAUCUUGUAAUGUUAUUAAUCAGCAAGUACAACUUAAUAGCAGAAAAACUUACACAGCUUAACAAGUGAUAUUUAAAAUAACCUUUACUGUAGAGAUUCUGAUUAUCCCAAGUUGUUUUCUAACCUUUCAGAAUCAAAAUAUAUUAAUUCAUUACCAAAAGCAAACAAACAAACAAAAACACUGAUGUGCUAGGCAUUGGGAAUAAAAGUAUGAAGAAAAGCUGUUGGUCUGUGCCAAACCUAGCACAACUUAGGGAGAGACAUCUCAAUACAGAAUAAUACUAGAGAACUCUACACCACAGAUCAGACACAGGCCCCAGCUUUAUAUCCCUACUACCACAAUCUAGCUGGGUGAUUUGAGCCCUGAGAGUACAUUUAUUAAAUGGAGAGACAAUCUCAAGCUUAUUUAGAGUACUGACAUAAUGCACAUAGCACUAACUUGUAAACUUUUAAAAAAGAUGUACAGAUUUAAGGGACAAAUUGUCCCUUUCUGUCAAAAGUCAAUCUUAUCAAAACUGAGAGCAAAUAAAACACACAAAUAUUCAAAUUCAAACCAUGUUAGGGAAGGCCUAACAAAUAUAAGAAUUUUUAAUAUAUGUAUACAAAGAGAUUAACUCUGCACUGGGGUAACGGUUCACUGUUAAUUUUUUAAUAUUUUAUUUAUUCAUGAGAAACACAGAGAGAGAGGGAGAGAGGAAUAGACACAGGCAGAGGAAGAAGCAGGCUCC